UGGGAACGGCAUUGGAGACUGCACGACUAGAGUGCGUCAGAGGGGGGGUAGAAUUCCGCGUGUAGCAGUGAAAUGCGUAGAGAUGCGGAGGAAUACCGAUGGCGAAGGCAGCCCCCUGGGAUGACACUGACGCUCAUGCACGAAAGCGUGGGGAGCAAACAGGAUUAGAUACCCUGGUAGUCCACGCCCUAAACGAUGUCAACUAGCUGUUGGGGGUUUGAAUCCUUGGUAGCGUAGCUAACGCGAGAAGUUGACCGCCUGGGGAGUACGGCCGCAAGGUUAAAACUCAAAGGAAUUGACGGGGACCCGCACAAGCGGUGGAUGAUGUGGAUUAAUUCGAUGCAACGCGAAAAACCUUACCUGGUCUUGACAUGUAACGAACGCCGCAGAGAUGUGGCGGUGCCCGAAAGGGAGCGUUAACACAGGUGCUGCAUGGCUGUCGUCAGCUCGUG
RNAcentral lists this ribosomal RNA (452 nucleotides) under uncultured Chromobacterium sp. RNAcentral describes it as "bacterial SSU rRNA". It matches the Rfam family "Bacterial small subunit ribosomal RNA", at positions 615 to 1064 of the family's 1533-position model. Lineage: Bacteria; Pseudomonadati; Pseudomonadota; Betaproteobacteria; Neisseriales; Chromobacteriaceae. The record is from RNAcentral.